CUGCUGCCUUCCGUAGGAGUCUGGGCCGUGUCUCAGUCCCAGUGUGGCCGUCCACCCUCUCAGGCCGGCUGCUGAUCGUCGCUUUGGUGGGCCGUUACCCCGCCAACUGGCUAAUCAGACGCGGGCCCAUCCUGUACCACCGGAGUUUUUCAAAGGAUUACCAUGCGGUAUUCCCUAUUAUGCGGUAUUAGCACCUAUUUCUAAGUGUUAUCCCCCGGUACAGGGCAGGUUGCCCACGCGUUACUCACCCGUCCGCCACUAAGACAG
RNAcentral lists this ribosomal RNA (267 nucleotides) under uncultured bacterium. RNAcentral's name for it is "partial 16S ribosomal RNA". The record is from RNAcentral.